This 22-nucleotide small nuclear RNA is filed under the name Arabidopsis thaliana (thale cress). RNAcentral's name for it is "snRNA_03865". The record is from RNAcentral. Lineage: Eukaryota; Viridiplantae; Streptophyta; Magnoliopsida; Brassicales; Brassicaceae.
AGCUCCAAGUGGGCCAUUUUUG